GCCAGCAUGGUGUAGUGGUUUGAGUGUUGGACUACAACUCUGGAGACCAUGGUUCGAAUCCUGGUUUGGCC
Phrynosoma platyrhinos (Desert horned lizard) is the source of this 71-nucleotide non-coding RNA. NCBI's taxonomy places the organism in Eukaryota, Metazoa, Chordata, Lepidosauria, Squamata, Phrynosomatidae. The record is from the annotation of a GenBank genome assembly.